GACGAACGCUGGCGGCGUGCCUAAUACAUGCCAGUAGAACGCUGAAGAGAGGAGCUUACUCUUCUUGGAUGAGUUGCGAACGGGUGAGUAACGCGUAGGUAACCUGCCUUGUAGCGGGGGAUAACUAUUGGAAACGAUAGCUAAUACCGCAUAACAAUGGAUGACACAUGUCAUUUAUUUGAAAGGGGCAAUUGCUCCACUACAAGAUGGACCUGCGUUGUAUUAGCUAGUAGGUGAGGUAAUGGCUCACCUAGGCGACGAUACAUAGCCGACCUGAGAGGGUGAUCGGCCACACUGGGACUGAGACACGGCCCAGACUCCUACGGGAGGCAGCAGUAGGGAAUCUUCGGCAAUGGGGGCAACCCUGACCGAGCAACGCCGCGUGAGUGAAGAAGGUUUUCGGAUCGUAAAGCUCUGUUGUAAGUCAAGAACGGGUGUGAGAGUGGAAAGUUCACACUGUGACGGUAGCUUACCAGAAAGGGACGGCUAACUACGUG
RNAcentral lists this ribosomal RNA (497 nucleotides) under uncultured bacterium. RNAcentral describes it as "partial 16S ribosomal RNA". It matches the Rfam family "Bacterial small subunit ribosomal RNA", at positions 28 to 507 of the family's 1533-position model. The record is from RNAcentral.